GCGGAGGAAAAGAAAAUAACAAUGAUUUCCCUAGUAACGGCGAGUGAAGAGGAAAGAGCUCAAAGUUGGAACCUGUUUGGCUUAGCUAAACCGGAUUGUAAACUGUAGAAGUGUUUUCCAGACACGCCUGGUAAAAAAGUCCUUUGGAACAGGGCAUCAUAGAGGGUGAGAAUCCCGUCAUUGGCCAGAGCUGUUGUCUUUUGUGAUACAUUUUCAAAGAGUCAGGUUGUUUGGGAAUGCAGCCUAAAUUGGGUGGUAAAUCUCACCUAAAGCUAAAUAUUUGCGAGAGACCGAUAGCGAACAAGUACCGUGAGGGAAAGAUGAAAAGAACUUUGAAAAGAGAGUUAAACAGUAUGUGAAAUUGUUAAAAGGGAACCGUUUGGAGCCAGACUGGCUUGAUCGUAAUCACUCUAGGCUUUGGCCUGGAUGCACUUGCGGUCUAUGCCGGCCAACGACAGUUUUGUUUGAGGGAAAAAAUUACAUUGAAUGUGGCCCUUCGGGGUGUUAUAGCUUUGUAAAAAAUACCUUGGACGGGACUGAGGAACGCAGCGAAUGCCUUUAGGCGAGAUUGCUGGGUGCUUGCGCUGAUACAUGCUAGAAUUUCUGCUUCGGGUGGUGCUAGUGUGUAAAGGAGUAACCCGCUUAGUAUAUUUUUUAUUCGCUUAGGUUGUUGGCUUAAUGACUCUAAAUGAC
Molecule: ribosomal RNA, 693 nt
Filed under: Mucor irregularis
Lineage: Eukaryota; Fungi; Mucoromycota; Mucoromycetes; Mucorales; Mucoraceae
Description: eukaryotic LSU rRNA
Rfam family: Eukaryotic large subunit ribosomal RNA
Source: RNAcentral